RNAcentral lists this ribosomal RNA (253 nucleotides) under uncultured bacterium. Its description in RNAcentral is "partial 16S ribosomal RNA". It matches the Rfam family "Bacterial small subunit ribosomal RNA", at positions 524 to 776 of the family's 1533-position model. The record is from RNAcentral.
UACGUAGGGUGCGAGCGUUGUCCGGAAUUACUGGGCGUAAAGAGCUCGUAGGUGGUUUGUCGCGUUGUUCGUGAAAUCUCACGGCUUAACUGUGAGCGUGCGGGCGAUACGGGCAGACUAGAGUACUGCAGGGGAGACUGGAAUUCCUGGUGUAGCGGUGGAAUGCGCAGAUAUCAGGAGGAACACCGGUGGCGAAGGCGGGUCUCUGGGCAGUAACUGACGCUGAGGAGCGAAAGCGUGGGUAGCAAACAGG